RNAcentral lists this small RNA (709 nucleotides) under Pongo abelii (Sumatran orangutan). RNAcentral's name for it is "processed transcript". Lineage: Eukaryota; Metazoa; Chordata; Mammalia; Primates; Hominidae. The record is from RNAcentral.
GCGGGCUGGAGGCGGGGCCGGCCGCGGGGAGGCGGAGGCCCCCAUGGGCUCCUUCACGGGGCAGCCAGGCCCGAUCCCGCGAAGGAGCGGCGGUCGCGGGCGCUGCCUUGGCUGAGGCUGGUUCCGGAGGCCGCUCGCAUCCCGCCUCCGCGGAGCGCCCUGGGCACGGGGUCCGCGGCUGUAGGAGGACGGGCUGGAGCUGGAGGCGGCUGCCCGCGACUCGGCCGGGGGCGGCCCUGGGAAGGGGGGACAACCUUGCUCUUUUCCGCACGGCCUUCUCUCUCCUCCACCCCCCCUCAUUUUUAGCUUCCAAAGUUAGGAAGGGCGCGGAGGCAACGUCUGCAAAGUGGUGACUGUGAAGGCAGCCUUUGCGCUUUCCUAGGAGAGGGAUCCCGACCCGCAGUCCGGAGGCGGGGCCUGCGGCGGCAGGUGUUAAAUCACCUCGGCGCCGGCCGAGUGGCCUGAAAGACCAGCGGGGCAGGAGACGGAAAACGAAAUGACCUGGAAGUACAAGAAAAUUCCCCAGGACACAGAGCUGGUUUGGAGCCUUUCUUUGAUUUUAUUGUUUCUAUUAAUGGUUCAAGAUUAAAUAAAGACAAUGACACUCUUAAGGAUCUGCUGAAAGCAAACGUUGAAAAGCCUGUAAAAAUGCUUAUCUAUAGCAGCAAAACAUUGGAGCUGCGAGAGACCUCAGUCACACCGAGUAACC